GGUGGAUCGGGCGCGCGCGCGGGCCGGUCCGGUUCGGCGCGGUCGGUUCUGGGCCGGUUCGGCCCAAGCGGUCGCACCGGUUUUCCCUUUUUUUUUCUUUUAGCCCUUUUCUUUUUCUGUUUUUCUCAAUUCUUCGAUAUCUUUUGAUUUUGAACUCCAAAUUGGUCCAAAUAAAUUCCAGAAAAUUUGAAAAAUCAUGUUCUACCAUGAUACAAGUUUUGGAAGUAGUUUCUCUUCAAAAUAAAAUAUAUAAAAAUACAUUUGCCCUAUAAAUGCCUUUAGGGCCAUAUAUCUAUUUAAAUAAAAUACUUUUUCAACUCCAAAUAAUUAUCCAAAAAUUAUGGGAUAGCUUAUAUAUGCACUAAACCCCUUUUAUAC
Molecule: long non-coding RNA, 378 nt
Filed under: Brachypodium distachyon (stiff brome)
Lineage: Eukaryota; Viridiplantae; Streptophyta; Magnoliopsida; Poales; Poaceae
Description: long non-coding RNA (BDIS_LNC000240)
Source: RNAcentral